Molecule: long non-coding RNA, 1555 nt
Organism: Coturnix japonica (Japanese quail)
Lineage: Eukaryota; Metazoa; Chordata; Aves; Galliformes; Phasianidae
Source: Ensembl
GAGGGGCUGGAAAUGCUCCGGUGUUCGGGGCUGGCGCCGGCCGUGGGGUCCCAGUGGGAUGUGCUGGUGUCCAGCAGGAGAGCCUGACCUCUUGAGGGGCGCGUGGCUGGGCAGGGGGCUCUGCAGUGCCUCAGUGAGCUGCAGACCCUCUGGCUCUCCAUGUGCAUCCUCUCCAAGGCCAGGCAUCAGCUGCCCCUCCCCUGUGGGGUUUUACCCCCCAAGCUCUUGGAGUGUGGAUUUCCCAGGGUACCAAUAGGACACAAAGCGGCUCUGGGGACACGAGUGAGGCUGACAGCCCCAUCCCAGUGUCACUGUGUCCCCAGGUCAGGCUGGAAUCCAACAUCACAGCGCUGCAGGAUGAGCUGCGGGGGCUGCGGCGCCAGAAGGCUGAACUGUCCCGCAGGAACUCAGCCCUGCAAGAGGAGCUGGCUCAGGGGGCAGAACGGGCGCUGGGGCUGCAGAGGAGGCUGGAAGAGACGGCGGAGCAGCGGAGAGCGCUGCGGGCACGAGGGGAGCGAUGCGAGGAGCGACAGCGGGAGCUCGAGGCCACGCUGAGGGAUCGUGCAGCUGAGUUGGAUGCGUUACGGAGGCGGUUGGGGCCCCGCACUGCGCGGCGCAGGUGCUCCCCUUCCCGGUACAUUGAGUGGGUGCUGUGCUGCCAUUCAGCCCUGAUCCUUUUUGGGGUGGACACGCUGGAGUUGGGGGCACCCUGGGGUGGGAGCUGCCUGUGUCCCAUCACAGCCCUUUGUCACUGUGUCCCUGCGGGGUCUCACUCUGUGCUGUCCCCUCCUUUAUUUGCAGGAAGAGCUGAAGUCCCGCAGCAUCCUCCUGUCUGGCUUCGCUUUGCCAGCACGGACACCACACUCAGAACGGCACCAGCCCUACAGCAAUGAGAACCAGGGCUGCCCAUCACUCCCAGUCCCACCAGCACUGGGACCAGCAGCAGCUCAGCCCCUCUGCACUCAGCAGAGCUGGCACAGCACCAACGAUGCUCCCCACAUCCCCUUGUGUCCCCCCCCCCAGCACCACACUGAGCAGCUGUGGGUGCUGCUUGCUUGCUGAUGGCGAGCAGUCCUUGCUCUGAGGUUACCCAGAGCCAUUCAUUAAUCAUUAAUUCACUGAUUAAACAGGAAUGGUGCUCCAUGAUGUUCAGUGCUCCCCUGUAAUCCAGUUGGGUGCUUAGAAUCCACAUCGCACAGGUCAGGUCUUGAAUAGCUCCAAAGAAGGAGACUCCACCACGUCUAUGGGCAGCCUGUUCCAAUGCUCCAUCACCCUCACCAUAAAGCUUAGGGUGGAACUGUGGGGGUUACCAGCACUGGGCUCUGUGGGUCGUGGAGCUGAGCCGAUUAUAGGGGGGGGGGUUGGUUGGGGGGUUGGGGGAAGGGAGGGAUGAGUGGCUGCCACUGAUUUCCAGUGCUUCCCCGUUCCUUUGAUCCACAAGAGAAGACAAGUUUCCAGGAAAGUUGCUGCCGAUUUUCCUGCCUCUGCCAUAGCGGUAUCCUGUGCAGAGGGCAGGGUGAGAGCCGGCAUCCGGCCCCCCUGCCCCACACCGGGG